Molecule: non-coding RNA, 21 nt
Filed under: Caenorhabditis elegans
Lineage: Eukaryota; Metazoa; Nematoda; Chromadorea; Rhabditida; Rhabditidae
Source: RNAcentral
UCCAAGAGUCAAUGAUUCGUU